AAAUUUCAAUCUAACAGCAUCUGUUUCACUGGCAGAGGCCCACCUGUUGUGCCUUCUCAUGUUUAAUAAGAUGCAUCACGGAGUAGCGUUUUCUCAUCAAAUGCAUUCAAGUAUUUCAUCUUGCUUCUUGGAUGAAGAGUAUUUGACAAAGUAAUAUAAAAGAAGGGAUAUAUUUCGCGUCUUUGGAAGAAAAUUCACAUUUAACUCGCGGUUGCUUCAGGGGAUAUUCUUGAGAUAUUUCCCCUGAGAGAAAAGAAAAUCACAUAAACAUCCACAGGAGUAGAAGUAAUUGAAACAAGCUGGCUGUUUGCUGUUAACGACUGGCAGUGGAUUCAGAAGACACCUUUAAUGAACGCCGAAAUUCUGCCCCGAUGCUGGAAGGUCACAUUGUGAGAUAAAUGUCAAGGAUAUCAUUAUGUGAGAGCAGCAGAAAUGAAAAAACUUAUUUCUCCAGUGUGUUUAUAAAUGAGAGUUUGUGCUUCAAAUCAUCAUAUACUGCCUGUAUCACAGUGCCACAAUAAAUUCUGACAAUGUAAGGAAAUAAA
Carassius gibelio (silver crucian carp) is the source of this 545-nucleotide long non-coding RNA. RefSeq lists it as uncharacterized. The record is from RefSeq and is a predicted model, not a curated record. The transcript has 3 exons. NCBI's taxonomy places the organism in Eukaryota, Metazoa, Chordata, Actinopteri, Cypriniformes, Cyprinidae.